Malus domestica (apple) is the source of this 3016-nucleotide RNA transcript. It is a transcript of the gene named DNA replication licensing factor MCM4, with no coding region annotated. The record is from RefSeq and is a predicted model, not a curated record. NCBI's taxonomy places the organism in Eukaryota, Viridiplantae, Streptophyta, Magnoliopsida, Rosales, Rosaceae.
GGAAAAUUAUCACAUCUUCGCGCCAAAAUCCUACCCGCCAAACAAAGUGAACACUCUCUGCUGCCCAAACUCAACCAUCCAAACCCCAACGCUCUCCCCCCCUCUCUCUCUCUGGACAUGGCUUCCGAUUCUUCUCCGGCGGACUUCAACAAUGGGCCUUCUUCUCCUGAUGACUUCUUAUCGAGCCCAAUCGGCAACACCUUCUCCUCUCCGGUGGACGCCACCCACCGCAGUCGGCGUCGAUCCAUUACCCCCUUGGAAUUUGACACCCCGCGGGCGCAGCGGUCCCGGUUCGCCGCAUCCGAAACAACACCAACGGGCACACACCGCACCAACGGCCAUAGUGCUGGCGCUGCCCCGACCCCCUCCUCCACUGACGGUGAUGUCCCACCAUCUUCUGAAGGCGGCGAUGGGUACGGUGUGGACGAGGACCGACCCACAUUUGUCUGGGGCACGAACAUCAGCGUGAACGAUGUUAAGGUGGCGAUUGUUAGGUUUUUAAAGAAUUUUCGGGAUGAGUCGCAGUGGAAUACGGAGAGUGAGUACCUUACAGAAGGGAAGUACAUUGAGGCCAUCAAGAGAGUUGUUGAGACGGAAGAUGAUUCGCUUGAUGUUGAUGCACGCAAUGUGUUUGAUUAUGAUUCCGACUUGUAUGCGAAGAUGGUCAGGUACCCACUCGAGGUUCUUGCGAUUUUCGAUAUUGUUUUGAUGGAAAUGCUGCCCAUCAUAAACCCGUUGUUCGAAAAGCACAUCCAAACUCGGAUUUAUAAUCUCAAAACAUCCACCUCGAUGAGAAAUCUCAACCCAUCUGACAUUGAGAGGAUGGUUUCGUUGAAGGGAAUGAUUAUUCGGUCUAGUUCAAUAAUACCUGAGAUAAGGGAAGCAAUAUUUAGAUGCCUUGUGUGUGGCUACUACUCCGACCCACUUCCUGUAGAGAAAGGGCGAAUAUCGGAGCCUACAAUAUGUUUGAAGGAAGAGUGUCAAGCCAGGAAUUCCAUGACACUGGUUCAUAAUCGAUGCAGAUUUACAGAUAAACAGAUUGUGAGGCUCCAGGAGACUCCUGAUGAGAUCCCUGAAGGAGGGACACCACAUACAGUGAGCUUGUUGAUGCAUGACAAACUGGUUGAUGCUGGAAAGCCAGGAGACAGAAUUGAGGUUACUGGGAUAUACAGGGCAAUGACUGUUAGAGUUGGACCGACACAGAGAACUGUAAAAUCAUUGUUCAAGACUUACAUUGAUUGUCUGCAUAUAAAGAAAUCUGAUAAGUCAAGAAUGCUGGCGGAGGAUCAAGUGGAAGUUGACACUUCCUUGGUUGGAAACUCAGAAGAGAUUCUUUUUGAUGAAAAAAAGGUGGAACAAUUGAAAGGGUUGGCAAAACAGCCAGAUAUAUAUGAUCGAUUAACAAGGUCUUUAGCACCAAACAUCUGGGAAUUAGAUGACGUUAAAAAAGGCCUUCUUUGCCAGCUUUUUGGUGGGAAUGCUUUGAAGCUACCAUCUGGUGCUCGCUUCCGUGGUGAUAUUAAUAUUCUUCUUGUUGGUGAUCCUGGAACCAGCAAGUCCCAGCUGCUCCAGUACAUACACAAACUAGCUCCUCGCGGAAUAUACACUAGUGGAAGAGGGAGUUCCGCUGUUGGAUUGACUGCUUAUGUUGCGAAAGAUCCUGAAACAGGGGAAACUGUUUUAGAGAGUGGAGCCUUAGUUUUGAGCGAUAGAGGCAUUUGUUGCAUUGACGAAUUUGACAAAAUGUCUGAUAGUGCGAGGAGCAUGCUACAUGAGGUGAUGGAACAGCAAACUGUUUCAAUAGCUAAAGCAGGAAUUAUUGCUUCCCUUAAUGCUAGGACUUCAGUCUUGGCUUGUGCAAAUCCAAGUGGUUCACGCUAUAACCCUCGCUUAUCAGUAAUUGACAACAUACACCUUCCUCCUACCUUAUUAUCCAGGUUCGAUCUGAUCUACUUACUCCUUGACAAGGCUGAUGAGCAUACAGACAGACGCCUUGCAAAGCAUAUUGUUGCAUUACACUUUGAGAAUCCUGAGAGCGUACAGCAGGAUGUCUUAGACAUUGCUAUGUUGACCGCAUAUGUGGGCUAUGCCCGAAAGCAUAUUCACCCACAAUUAUCCGAUGAGGCUGCUGAAGAGUUGACUAGAGGUUAUGUUGAGUUGAGGAGGAGAGGAAAUUUUCCAGGCAGUAGCAAAAAGGUGAUAACAGCAACACCCAGGCAGAUUGAGAGUUUGAUACGACUUAGUGAAGCUCUAGCUCGCAUCCGUUUCUCAGAAUCGGUUGAGAAGCAUGAUGUUAUUGAGGCAUUUCGGCUUCUGGAAGUUGCAAUGCAGCAAUCGGCAACUGACCACUCCACAGGAACGAUUGACAUGGAUCUUAUCACCACUGGAAUUUCAGCAAGUGAAAGAAUGAGACGAGAAAGUCUGGUAUCAUCAGCUCGCAACAUAAUUAUGGAGAAGAUACAACUUGGGGGACCCUCAAUGCGCUUGUUAGAGCUGCUGGAGGAGCUGAAGCAGCAGCUCUGGCGGUGAACUCCACCUCAACGAUCUGAGGACUGCAAUUACGACACUAGCAAGUGAGGGAUUUGUGGCUUUUGUUCACGGCGACAGUGUCAAAAGAAUAUGAUGAGAAAGGAGACAGAGAAGAAAUGGGUGACACUUGACAUUGGUUUUUUUAGUUGCCACAGUUAAGUGAGACCUUAAAACAACUGGAGAUGUAUCACACCAUAUUCCAGGGUUGUUUUUGCAGUUGGUUAAAGUCUCGUGUUCACGAGCUGCGACAGUUGCUAGGUUCUUGACUUGAGAACAGAGGCAAGAAGAGAAGGCUUAAAUCGAUAUUUCGCUAACUCCAAAUGGCUUUACACAACCGCUUGAAGGCCAAUCUAACGUUGGCAUCCACGAAUGCAAUCAGCCGCCAAUUUCAUUUGGUAGAUGAAUUCACUAAUGAAUCCAAAGACCACUUAAUGAAAUGUCAUUUAGUACUUUGGUCUAAUCGUAUUCUUCUUCGUUUGUAAAUAAG